GAUGAACGCUGGCGGCGUGCUUAACACAUGCAAGUCGAACGGAAAGGCCCAAGUUUCCCUGUGUUCGCGAGUGGAGAAGGGGUGAGAAACACGUGGGUGAUCUGCUGCGCACUUCGGGAUAAGCCUGGGAAACUGGGUAUAAUACCGGAGAGGACCACUUCUGGGAUGUUGUGGGGGAAAGUUUUUGGGGUGGGGUACGAGCGCGCGGCCUAUCCGCUUGUGGGGGGGGUAGUGGCCUACCAGGGCGGCGACGGGACCCGGGCUGGAGAGGGUGUAGGGCCACAUUGGGCCUGGGAUACGGCCCAGACUCCUACGGGGGGAGGAGGUGGGGAAUAUUGAAAAAUGGGGGAAGGCCUGAGGAAGCGACGCGGGGUGGGGGAUGACGGCUUUGGGGUGGUAAACCCCUUUCGCAAGGGACGAGGCGUUUUGUGACGGUACCUAGAGAAGAAGCACCGGCUAACUACGUG
RNAcentral lists this ribosomal RNA (467 nucleotides) under uncultured bacterium. RNAcentral describes it as "partial 16S ribosomal RNA". It matches the Rfam family "Bacterial small subunit ribosomal RNA", at positions 28 to 507 of the family's 1533-position model. The record is from RNAcentral.